Molecule: ribosomal RNA, 101 nt
Filed under: Marinococcus halophilus
Lineage: Bacteria; Bacillati; Bacillota; Bacilli; Caryophanales; Bacillaceae
Description: partial 16S ribosomal RNA
Rfam family: Bacterial small subunit ribosomal RNA
Source: RNAcentral
UUUUACGGAGAGUUUGAUCCUGGCUCAGGACGAACGCUGGCGGCGUGCCUAAUACAUGCAAGUCGAGCGCGGGAAGCCGGCGGACUCCUUCGGGAGGAAAC